This 76-nucleotide transfer RNA is filed under the name Crocinitomicaceae bacterium. Its description in RNAcentral is "tRNA-Trp". It matches the Rfam family "tRNA". Rfam says of the family: Transfer RNA (tRNA) molecules are approximately 80 nucleotides in length. Their secondary structure includes four short double-helical elements and three loops (D, anti-codon, and T loops). Further hydrogen bonds mediate the characteristic L-shaped molecular structure. tRNAs have two regions of fundamental functional importance: the anti-codon, which is responsible for specific mRNA codon recognition, and the 3' end, to which the tRNAs corresponding amino acid is attached (by aminoacyl-tRNA synthetases). tRNAs cope with the degeneracy of the genetic code in two manners: having more than one tRNA (with a specific anti-codon) for a particular amino acid; and 'wobble' base-pairing, i.e. permitting non-standard base-pairing at the 3rd anti-codon position. The record is from RNAcentral. Lineage: Bacteria; Pseudomonadati; Bacteroidota; Flavobacteriia; Flavobacteriales; Crocinitomicaceae.
ACGGGCUUAGCUCAGCUGGUAGAGUAGUGGUCUCCAAAACCAUUGGUCGUGGGUUCGAAUCCUACAGCCCGUGCAA